Schistocerca americana (American grasshopper) is the source of this 5856-nucleotide long non-coding RNA. RefSeq lists it as uncharacterized. The record is from RefSeq and is a predicted model, not a curated record. NCBI's taxonomy places the organism in Eukaryota, Metazoa, Arthropoda, Insecta, Orthoptera, Acrididae. The transcript has 2 exons.
UUCACGCUAGAAAGCUAUCCUUAUCUCUUUUACAUUGCUCUAAUUUGUCAUGACUAUUAGGAAAUUCAUUACAUUUAAUGCCUUACCCCACCAAUGCUGAUUCUGUCGCUACAACAGUUUACAAAUAACAAAAGAGUUAUAGCUUCGGACUGCAGUGCGGCAACCUACAACGGUAUACAGUUCUCUUACCAGUACUUGCAACAGAAUAAUACAUCCUGAAUAGAGUUCUUAUUUUUCGUCACCUCUUCUUGACCCCAGUAUCUUUAUGAUCUGUUGAACAUUAAUUGAAGUACUCGUUGCUUCAGACCCUUCGUGGGUGUCAAAUUGCGAGCUUCCAAGCCUUGCGAAUAAGCACAACAGAGCUAUGCGUUGUUCUGCUGACAGCCGAAGUCUCCCACAGAAGUCAUGAAGGCUGGAAAUCUGAAAAACUGCUGGUCAUUUCGUUUUCUAAAGCGCUUCAUCAUAAUGCGUUUCCCAUUGGGGAAAUUGUAUUUAAUAAGAAAAGAAUUUUUAUAAAGCCACUGUAGAACGAAUACCAGGAUGUAGAGGUAGCAUUCCUAGUGACAUUGAAAGUAUUCUUCAAGAUCGUACACUAUCUCAGUAGUUCUUAACUCAUGGAAUUACUAAAACUGCCUUAUUAGUUUUUCUAUAAAUCAAUAUUGUAAUAUCUAAAGAAGGUGACGCAGUCGAAUACUUCACUGAAACAAUAAUAGUUAGUGCCUGGUCUUUUUUCGGUCGGUGAAUUUCUAUUAAAACGUUAUGUACUCUAUGUACUUCACACAAACUAUUUUCUUCUAGAGCCUUCCAGUGGGCCUCAUCUAAAUAGAAUUUGUAUUUAUUACAUUAAAAGAAAGAUCUGUUGUUAUAAGCUUUGCUUUAAAAGCUUUAGCGUAGAACUAUCUUCCAGAAUGCUAAACAUUAGCAGCCACGUUGAAAUACGCUUUCUUCUCAUAAUUGCCAAACACUAAAGAGUUUCUUCAGCAGUAUUUAAAUAUUUAAAAUUAUAAUACGACAGUUCAACUACAACAUUAUUUUUAAUAAUGUUUACAUUAAAAGAGAUCCUGUUUCUUGCUUUUUAAUAACUUUUAUUUCAAAAUAUUUUUGGAGAAUGAGCAUUUUAGAAAGAGUAAUUUGUUUACUGCGUACUACAGUCUUUCUCUGCAUAGGAGAACUGUAUGUGAAAGAUUGUUCAUAUCAUGAAUAGUACAACAGCAAAUUAUAGUUCACCUUGAGAAUUCAUAUCACCUACCAUAUCAUGUGAAUUUAGUAGUCCCUGUAGACAUAUCAUGCCUGAUUCUGAGAAAUAACAUUUGUUUCAUUUUAUCGUUGCUCAUUACACCCACUGAAACAUUAUACGCCGUAAACAUACCAUUCCAGUGUCAGAAACAUAGGUUUUAUCAAAAAUAAGUAAAUACUCUACUUUAUGUAAAAAUAUUAUGUUGAUAGACAUUGUGUAGAUUGUUUCAUCGUAAGAGAACAUCCCUCUUGUUUACCGUAUCGAAAACUAUAAAAACUUUUGAGGCAAACAAACUGACCUUCUUUGGCAUGGUUAUCAGGUAAUCAGUUCUGAAAUAUGUUAUCCGUAAUGUAUGUGGUACAAUAUAUGGUGUGAUAAGAAUCUUACUGCUAAUCAGAAAAAAUGUGUAUGUGUAAAGAUUCCCGGAAAUACCAGUAGAGUAAUUAUGUUUGCUUUAGUGUGUAUUGAUUUCUUAGACAGUCUCAACAACUUCUGUUCACAGACUGAAAUCUUAAUAUGGUGUGACUACUUUAGUGAAAAAAGUGAUACAAUAUUUUCAUGCUUCUGAUAAAUGCUGUUGUUAAAAAGGUUAUUCAAGAAACUUUACGUAACAAGAGACAGACAUUCUGGAACUAUGACUCUGUGUGCAACAAUAAGCAAACGUGUUUUAUAUACAGUCACUACAUCAUAUGCCGCUGAAAGUGGAAAUGAAGAUAAAAGGAAAUACGUUGUUCUUCUGUUGUGAUACUGACACUAUUGAGAGAAGCUGAAUCAACAUGGGCACCAGUAGAGCUCUACAGUCAAAGUGAAAAAAGCCUGUAAACACAAACAUACUGACAGUAGCCGUCCCAACCCUUUUCGCCGUGUGCUGGAGUUCCACCGCCAUCCGUCGAGGACCAACUGGAGAUGCCGGGAACCGGGCAGCACCCACCAGAAUGAGCUCUGGGUCCAAGUGAUGCACCCCCACAGCGGCCGCCCAUCGAGUUGAUGCUGCUGGCAGGAACCCACGACACAUACCACAAUGAGCACCCAGCUGUGUACUAGGCACAUCGCAAAGCCUUCGGUAUUUUCACAGAUGAGCGAGACAGGUAGUUGCCCAUGCCUCCUCCAAACAAUUCAGUCACCGCGCAGUUUCUAUUGCGACACCGGAAACUGCACUCUUGAUAAAUUCAUUCUCAGAUGAUUGAAGGCUUUCUCGGAUUUUGUCGAGUUGUAUGUCGCUCACAUGUUUUGUCUUAUUUUUGGUCCAGCUUACCCCUGGGAAUUACAUUUACGUGUUUAUCAUGUUUUUUGUCCGUUUCUCAUUUUCCUUAGUAGUCAACGUAUCGGACUAUAAAACAAAAAAUUUCUGCAUGAGGAUUAUAUUUUCCAUUUCGGUGAAAACGACUUCUUACUGUUUGAAAAAUAUAUGCACACAUUAUGGGAUGAGGGUUCUGUAAAUGAAGUAAGAGAUUUUCAAGCUGCGCUGUAUAAUUUGUGGCUCUGUUACGUCAUGCAGUGCUGAUCUGGUGAAAAUCUCUUUUUUUUUUUUUAACUCUGCUUUGGUAACUGUCGUUCGUGGUCUCAGAAACGAUUAAGAUGCAAGUUUCACAGAAGGAAAGCGCACAGAUAGUAUCACUGAACAGACACCACGAUCCACUUAGUCACUCAUCUCAUAAGUAAAUUAUAAUAAUCCUUCAGGAGAUCGUCUUGAAGACUUUUGCUGUAGACAAUAAUAUACAUUGACAAUAGCUUUUCCAGUUUUACGACGUUGUUAUUCAAGUGUCGACAGUUGUUGACAUAGGUCCUUUCUUCGUGGCGAUUAUCACCAGGACCGCAUGAUUUACUAAUGUAGCUCUAUUUUCAUUCUUGCGAAUGCGCAGAUUUUAUUACUAAAAUUAGGAAUAUAGACUAGAUUUUUGCAUUUCUUCUACUUUCUCGUUAUUGAGUGACAAUCUGAUUUCAGUGAUGUUGUUUGAUGUCUUCAUUCUACCUAGUCCUUUCAGAAAGCCGUGCUAUAUAUGUCGUGUACAUUGUGCUCCUCACCAAACUGACAGUGCUAAGUUCAAGACCAGCAGAACUCCAUUUGAAUUAGGUAGAUCUAUCAUCAGGACCUACUCCUGUUUCUAGAACCUCUCAAACUAACUGCCAAAAUUUUAUUAGAUUUUCUGCAUUAGAAAAUGAUGUAUACAGAGGUAUUAACGUAAUAUGCAUAUUUUCAGUUUAGUUUUUAUAAGCUGAAUGAAAGUGAAAUAUAUGAAUUCAAGCAUCACGAGUGAUACCACUGACGCCUUUACGUCAUAUCGCACAAGUGCCAGUUGCCUGUCAACACGUGGCAUCUCCCAUAGUAACCCUUCACGUUGAAUAUUUCCGUCACCAAAACACAACUCUCUUAAUCACUGGUAGACGAUGUCCUCAAAUCAUCCACUAUAGCUACCAGAAGACUACUGCUAUGACAGACCAUAUGCAACAUGGUUCCCCUUCAUGUGCGCUGUAACACCAGAAACAGAGAUACAUUAAGUUGGGUUAUCUACUCUUUUAAAAACAAGUGCACUUAGUAACACUAUAGUAACAAUCUUAACAAGACAAUAAGAAUACACACAAAAACUAUUUCCUUCAAUGGUCACCUUUAUUCUCACAAAGCACGGAUAAUGACUGCACAAAGCGGCACCAGUAGCAUUGUGACUCAAAGCAUCGUUGUUCGUGUGAGACUGCUUUUAUGACAGUGCCAAAUGGAGAAUCAGCUAGCUGAGUGACCCGGGUGGUCCCCAGGGGUAAGCGGCACUUUGUCCUCGAAACUACUGCUUGGUUUUGAUCAUUCCUAGCCGCGCGGUUGACCAAUACUGCAGCAAUUUCGAAGAUGAGGAGCAUGUUGAAUAAAAUAAGAAGUUACCCGUUUGUAAAUAAAUGCAGAUGAAUUUAAAACUUCUAAUUGGUACGCACGUUUGUCAACAUUUUCUGUCGCAGAAACUAUAUAAGUAUGGAACAAUAUAAUAUGCUCGGGUACUCGCUGUCUUUCAUGAACAAUAAAUAGAGAAUAGUUUCCACAUACGUGGUUCUGUUUCUUCCACAUGUGUCGAAUGAUAGGACUAAUUCCGUUACGAUGGAAAGAAAAACAAAGGAACAUAAGGCGAAUAUUUUACCACCACUACUAUGGCGAAUGUCAUACCCUUUGUCGCAUUAUGUACCUGUAUUACAGACUCCUGCACUACAUACCGCCGUGAACUAGUGAGUCGGUUCAUACAUAUGUCGAUAAUUGUUUAACUGUGGAGAAGAUUCAACAGUUUCCUUUCUGCAGACUCUGUUAUCAUACUGGGGAAGUGUGUUGCAAUUGAUAAAUAUGUAGCUCUAACUAAAAUUAAGCAAUGGACUUGAAAAAUUUAUCUCUCGCUGUUUGAUAUGACGUAAGCAUAUAACCAAAUGUUUGCAUUACGAGUUGUUUUACAAAUGAGGAGGGAUUUGUUUUGUUGUUAUUAUUGUCGCAUUGCUUCUAACAGAAGGUAACAUGUUAAUAAAUUGAGUACCCUCCCACAUAUCACCGAAUUUACGUAGCUUCAAUGGAAGCUACAGAAGACACAAUUUAAGCUAUGUCAGCUUCAGAACAUUAAACUUUGCAAACAAAGCUACAUUCUGUUUCACGAGUAUGUCGGUGAUUAUUUAAAGAAAUGAUGUAAUAUUUUCAACCUUAACAAAGCAGUACUUUAUUUUAUUAAUCUUCUAAGCGUAAUUUAAUAUGUACAUUAUGAUAGUCUCUAAAGAAUUUAUUUUUCGUUUGUUGAAACAGAAUAGACAAUUUAUUUGAGAGACGUGUAUCUAUUAGAAGUAUCUUAGUGUUCUGUGCAUUGCAAGAGGCGUGUUUCGUUUGUAAAAAGUUAACCUCGUGGCUUUUUGAAAUGUGUAUCCGAGUAGCAACUUUCGUAAUCAUGUGAGAACUGUGAAGUUUCAUAGACUGUAACAUGUUGUGAAUUAUCAUUUCGACUUUGCCUUAAAAAACUGCUGAUCCCUUGGUAUUUUAUACAUGCGUUUGUACAUACAAAGAAUUAAGCAAAAUUUUAUUUGAGUAAAAGUGUAGCAAAAUGUUCCUACUGUCUGUUGUAUAUGUGCGCAUAACAUCGCUUCAUUAUGAGAAUGAUUGUAAAUUAUGUUACAUCUGAUGUUGAGAUACUGAUAAGAACAAUUUCAAAUAUAUAUGUAUACAUAUGUAUAAAAUCUUCCAUCUUCAACGCCAGCCACCGAGAAGAAUCGUUAUAUUGUCCACAGAAAGUAUUAUGAUAAGAAAACUACAAAAUCUCUCAUUUGUUUAAGGAUAUUGUUAUUGUUUACUUAAAGAUACAAAUGAGUCUUGCUUGGUAACAAAGCUUUAAAAUGGUGCUAGUCUGCACAGUGUAAACAGUUUCCGUUGGUUGACACCUUGUUUCUCGACUCCCGAGUCUCUGUUCGAGUCUGGCUGCCGGCCCCUCGGCGGGUGCGGACCGCGUGUCGCCGCUGCGGUUCGCCCCCCGCGGACACGCUUCACACCACCCAACACUCGUCUCGGCACUAACAGUACCUCACACUUUACAUUUACUGUGUUCAGUUACUUUCAUUUGUACGAGAUGUCUGUACUAUUUAAUGGAAUAAAAUGCCAUUUUCUUAGAUAA